GUUAAGCGACUAAGCGUACACGGUGGAUGCCCUGGCAGUCAGAGGCGAUGAAGGGCGUGCUAAUCUGCGAUAAGCGCCGGUAAGGUGAUAUGAACCGUUAUAACCGGCGAUACCCGAAUGGGGAAACCCAGUGUGACUCGUCACACUAUCAUUAACUGAAUCCAUAGGUUAAUGAGGCGAACCGGGGGAACUGAAACAUCUAAGUACCCCGAGGAAAAGAAAUCAACCGAGAUUCCCCCAGUAGCGGCGAGCGAACGGGGAGGAGCCCAGAGCCUGAAUCAGCAUGUGUGUUAGUGGAAGCGUCUGGAAAGGCGCGCGAUACAGGGUGACAGCCCCGUACACAAAAGCGCAUGUGCUGUGAGCUCGAUGAGUAGGGCGGGACACGUGGUAUCCUGUCUGAAUAUGGGGGGACCAUCCUCCAAGGCUAAAUACUCCUGACUGACCGAUAGUGAACCAGUACCGUGAGGGAAAGGCGAAAAGAACCCCGGCGAGGGGAGUGAAAAAGAACCUGAAACCGUGUACGUACAA
Molecule: ribosomal RNA, 528 nt
Filed under: Salmonella enterica subsp. enterica serovar Bareilly
Lineage: Bacteria; Pseudomonadati; Pseudomonadota; Gammaproteobacteria; Enterobacterales; Enterobacteriaceae
Description: partial 23S ribosomal RNA
Rfam family: Bacterial large subunit ribosomal RNA
Source: RNAcentral